Molecule: long non-coding RNA, 1125 nt
Organism: Hipposideros armiger (great roundleaf bat)
Lineage: Eukaryota; Metazoa; Chordata; Mammalia; Chiroptera; Hipposideridae
Exons: 3
Source: RefSeq, a predicted model, not a curated record
AUAAAGGGAGAGGGGAAAGGCUUAAACCCCACAGAAGCUCAAGGCUCAAGCCCACAGCCGCCCCUCUGCAGCCCGCAGAGCAGGGAGGCUGGAAGGCACCACCCCUCUGGCCCGAGAAGGGGCCCUGAGCCGAGAGAAGACUCAAGCUGCCUGAAAGAUGAUUAAAAGCCUGAAGCAUACAGAGCUCACCCAGGGAAGUGAAGGGGUCUCAGAGGCUGCGUUAAGGUCCUGAGAAGCAAAAUGGGCCCAAACCCUUGGCCCACCUAGAGCCCUCCAAGCACAUCCCACCAGGACCUUUUAAACUAGUGAAUCGUUCACCUCCCAUUGCUUCUUCACAAAUGAACCAAGAGGUUCCUGGAGCCUCACGCCAUGGUCAGCAAUGACCCUUGAGUGGCCAGGAAGUGGUUUCUAUUCUAGGUCCCUCAGGCAAAGACAAAGCAGGUCAUUAUAUGGAGCUGGCGAGCCUCCCUGAUCAUCAUUGGCCGUGGUGGAGUGGGGAGGUGAAGGUAACACCUUCACAGCUACAGAUAUUCCUUAGCAGAGCUGUGGAGUGUGACAAUGGUGUUUGUGUCCAAACUAUCAAACGCCAUUAUCACACUAAAUAGCUACUGUUAGGCAAUCCUUCCACUCAAUAAAUGCCUUGGCAUCUGUUUGGUAUGCGUAAGAAGGUUCAUCUGACAGCAGGGCUUCCAGUCAUGUGUAAUUACUGAAUAAAUUACGGUCCUUUUGGGGUCACAACCAAUAUGUCAUCUGAACCUUGCCUUUCACCUGCUGUUGUUGAAUACUUUAGCUGAUGAUAAAUUUUCUUAUUAUUCCUGAGUCAAUAAAAAGAUUGCAGUGCUCCCCCACAAGCAUCCAACACAGGGCUAGGCACAUUGGAAUUUGUUCAACCCACAGUUGUUGAGUUGAAAUAAAUAGCUAGGAAAGUGUUAGACACAGAAAACUAAAAUUGGGUCAGAUCUAGUUUAUGCAAACCACACACUCAUAUGAAGGUUGGACAAUUAAGUUCACGAACUUUCUACCAUGUAAGGGCACAGUGGAAAGUUCGCGAAAAAUUAAGGUUUGGGUCCUCCACACUUCAUCAUGGAAAAACAACUUUCUAAUAAACACAUGUGGCUUAACUGA